UAUUUGGACACUUUCUCUGCUCUUUUUGUUGCUGUUUCUUCUUUUCUGUGUUGUUGUUGGCAUUUGUAGAAUGCUAAAAAGGCCACUUUAGUUUUAACCACAAAGUUUGCUUCGGUGUAUGUGUUGUCGACCUCGUUGCACUUUUUGGAAGGCUUAGAGAAGCCUGGGGGCAUCGCUCUUUCAUGUCAUUUAACUAUGUUUCAGUCAGGAGGACAAUUGUGCUCAGGUCUGGUCCGGUCCGAGUAUUAGUCCAAGGCCAGCCCCCAGUCCCAGUCCCAGUCCCAGUCCCUGCCAAACCGAUUCAACUUAGUCCUCAGUCAGGCAGGCGUUGAUUGCCAGGCAUUUAAAGUGUUUUCAAUGUAAAUCUAUGUAAAUACAUGCUGUUAAAUAAAAGAGCAACUCUGGUCCAUGGGCCGGAAUGGAAACUUUCGACUGGAUAAAUUGUAUAGCCAUAUUUGUUUGUUUUUGCUAGCUCAAUGCACGUUCCCAAUGGUAGUACCCCAAUGCCCCCAUGUGAGCACUCUUCCUCAGACGAUUCGUAAGACCUUAAGCCAGUCGCUCUUUAAGCCGUAUUUAUGCACAGCUUUUGGUCCAUGUUUAGCUUUCAUUUCCCUUUCUUUUUUAAAUACCCUUGCAGGGAGUACUGUGACUUUUAGGCUUAUAAAGUCUCUGACAUCAGUCCAACAAAAGUUGGCUGUGGAAAAGUGCCCAAUUCGUAGCAUAAUACAAAAAUCUUUGUAACAUUUUUGAACUGUCACUAGUCAAUAUGGCAAAAUGUAAAAAAUGUAAGAAAACUAAAGCUUAUAAAAGAAGGCUACAAAAUUACUCGAGUAAUACGCAAAAAGCUCUCGGUUUGACCAAUAAUGGAUUUUGGAACUUCUUGCGGGAGUUCAGAAGGAAGCAUUACAGGCUGCCGCCAAAAACUUUGAUCCCACAUGGCACCAGGGCUUGGUGUAAGCUCACAAGCAAACAGAAGGAAAAGUAUACCAAAAUGGUAAUAAAGAUUAUAUUUUGUUAUAUUUUGUACUUAUCUUUCAAUUAUAUUCAACAGAAACGGGCCGCGUGGGAACAAGAUCUUUCGUUACUGUGUUUAUGGCAGAUUUUUAAACCCAAACCCCUUACCGUGGCCUCACUUGAUCCAUAUCAAAGCAGCAAAAUAACCAAACAAAUACUUCUUUAAUAUUUUGUGUAUGUCAAAUUUCAAAAUCUGUAAUAGCAUUCAAAUUUCCCCAUCUGAUUAUGUGCCGCC
RNAcentral lists this long non-coding RNA (1249 nucleotides) under Drosophila guanche. The record is from RNAcentral. Lineage: Eukaryota; Metazoa; Arthropoda; Insecta; Diptera; Drosophilidae.